Molecule: ribosomal RNA, 331 nt
Filed under: uncultured eukaryote
Lineage: Eukaryota
Description: partial 18S ribosomal RNA
Rfam family: Eukaryotic small subunit ribosomal RNA
Source: RNAcentral
CCCUUAGAUGUUCCGGGCCGCACGCGCGCUACACUGUUCGACGCAGCGAGUCUUAACCUUGACCGAAAGGUUUGGGUAAUCUUCAGCAAAGUCGAACGUGAUGGGGAUCGAUCAUUGCAAUUAUUGAUCGUGAACGAGGAAUUCCUAGUAAGUGCAAGUCAUCAGCUUGCGCUGAUUACGUCCCUGCCCUUUGUACACACCGCCCGUCGCUACUACCGAUUGAAUGGUUUAGUGAGAUCUCUGGAUUGACGCUGGCUAGGGGGCGACCCUUGGCCAGACUGUUGAGAAACUGCUCAAACUUGAUCAUUUAGAGGAAGUAAAAGUCGUAACA